GUGCUAGCUUUGUCAGCACAUACACUGAAAUUGUAAUGAUACAUAGAAGAUUACCAAGGUCCCUGCACAAGGAUGGCAUGCAAAUUCAUGAAGCAUUCCGUAUUUUU
This is a small nuclear RNA of Pteronotus mesoamericanus, 107 nucleotides long. The record is from RefSeq and is a predicted model, not a curated record. NCBI's taxonomy places the organism in Eukaryota, Metazoa, Chordata, Mammalia, Chiroptera, Mormoopidae.